UACGAAGGACCCGAGCGUUAUCCGGAUUUAUUGGGUUUAAAGGGUGCGUAGGCGGAUUAAUAAGUCAGUGGUGAAAGCCCAUCGCUUAACGAUGGAACUGCCAUUGAUACUGCUAGUCUUGAGUAUGGUUGAGGUGGGCGGAAUGUGUCAUGUAGCGGUGAAAUGCUUAGAUAUGACAUAGAACACCAAUUGCGAAGGCAGCUCACUAAGCAAAUAUUGACGCUGAGGCACGAAAGCGUGGGGAUCAAACAGG
Molecule: ribosomal RNA, 253 nt
Filed under: uncultured bacterium
Lineage: Bacteria
Description: partial 16S ribosomal RNA
Rfam family: Bacterial small subunit ribosomal RNA
Source: RNAcentral